Suncus etruscus (white-toothed pygmy shrew) is the source of this 131-nucleotide small nucleolar RNA. RefSeq annotates it as small nucleolar RNA SNORA51. Lineage: Eukaryota; Metazoa; Chordata; Mammalia; Eulipotyphla; Soricidae. The record is from RefSeq and is a predicted model, not a curated record. The transcript has a single exon.
GGCCUCCUUGUUCUUACCACAGGCUAUGUUCUUUAUACUUAUUGUAUACAGAGAGGAGUUGCAGUAACCCCACUCCAUAAACACUUCAGUCCAACUCUCUUUCUGAUCUGUAUUGUGAAUGGGGGACAUGG